Molecule: ribosomal RNA, 358 nt
Filed under: uncultured organism
Description: bacterial SSU rRNA
Rfam family: Bacterial small subunit ribosomal RNA
Source: RNAcentral
GGCCUAACACAUGCAAGUCGAGCGCUGUAGCAAUACAGAGCGGCGCACGGGUGAGUAACACGUGGGAACGUGCCCUUUGGUUCGGAAUAACUCAGGGAAACUUGAGCUAAUACCGGAUACGCCCUUCGGGGGAAAGAUUUAUCGCCAUUGGAGCGGCCCACGUUGGAUUAGCUAGUUGGUGAGGUAACGGCCCACCAAGGCGACGAUCCAUAGCUGGUUUGAGAGAACGACCAGCCACACUGGGACUGAGACACGGCCCAGACUCCUACGGGAGGCAGCAGUGGGGAAUCUUGGACAAUGGGGGCAACCCUGAUCCAGCCAUGCCGCGUGAGUGCUNAGCCCUAGGGUUGUAAAACUC